GACGAACGCUGGCGGCGUGCUUAACACAUGCAAGUCACGGGGGCCCGCAAGGGCAACCGGCGAACGGGUGCGUAACACGUGAGCAAGCUUCCGAUUAGUGGGGGAUAGCCGGCCCAACGGCCGGGUAAUACCGCAUACGUUCACUGGACGGCAUCGUCUGGUGAGGAAACCUCCGGGGCUAAUCGAGGCGCUCGCGGCCUAUCAGCUAGUUGGCGGGGUAACGGCCCACCAAGGCUAUGACGGGUAGCUGGUCUGAGAGGAUGGCCAGCCACAUUGGGACUGCGACACGGCCCAGACUCCUACGGGAGGCAGCAGUGGGGAAUAUUGCGCAAUGGACGAAAGUCUGACGCAGCGACGCCGCGUGUGGGAUGAAGCCUUUCGGGGUGUAAACCACUGUUGCCCGGGACGAAACGCCCUUUCGAGGGAAUUGACGGUACCGGGUGAGGAAGCACCGGCUAACUCUGUGC
This 467-nucleotide ribosomal RNA is filed under the name uncultured bacterium. Its description in RNAcentral is "bacterial SSU rRNA". It matches the Rfam family "Bacterial small subunit ribosomal RNA", at positions 28 to 508 of the family's 1533-position model. The record is from RNAcentral.